GAUGAACGCUGGCGGCGUGCCUAAUACAUGCAAGUCGAGCGAACAGACGAGGAGCUUGCUCCUCUGACGUUAGCGGCGGACGGGUGAGUAACACGUGGAUAACCUACCUAUAAGACUGGGAUAACUUCGGGAAACCGGAGCUAAUACCGGAUAAUAUAUUGAACCGCAUGGUUCAAUAGUGAAAGACGGUUUUGCUGUCACUUAUAGAUGGAUCCGCGCCGCAUUAGCUAGUUGGUAAGGUAACGGCUUACCAAGGCAACGAUGCGUAGCCGACCUGAGAGGGUGAUCGGCCACACUGGAACUGAGACACGGUCCAGACUCCUACGGGAGGCAGCAGUAGGGAAUCUUCCGCAAUGGGCGAAAGCUUGACGGAGCAACGCCGCGUGAGUGAUGAAGGUCUUCGGAUCGUAAAACACUGUUAUUAGGGAAGAACAAAUGUGUAAGUAACUAUGCACGUCUUGACGGUACCUAAUCAGAAAGCCACGGCUAACUACGUG
RNAcentral lists this ribosomal RNA (497 nucleotides) under uncultured bacterium. RNAcentral's name for it is "partial 16S ribosomal RNA". It matches the Rfam family "Bacterial small subunit ribosomal RNA", at positions 28 to 507 of the family's 1533-position model. The record is from RNAcentral.